AUGUCUUGUGUUGGAAGUCGAAGCAUCCUGGUUGGCAAUUCCCUGCACUGGUUUAUUUUUGGUACUCAGACUGGCAUCCUUAAGCUUGAUUUGGAUACUCGGAGCCUAGCUGUUGUAGAGGUGCCACCGGAUGCCCAUUCUAGUCAUCAUGGCCUCUAUCUGAGUACGCUGGGUGGCGGGCUUGGCUUCAUCGUUGUGUCAGACGACUUCGUAGCUCAACUAUGGGUGAGGACGACUGAUUUUGAUGGAGUUGCUGGAUGGAUGCCGGCACAAGCAAUUGAGUUGAACAAGCUUCUUCCGCUGAGACCAGGCGAGUGGACAAAUCUGCAAACGGUGUUGGGUGUCGCUGGAGAUGAGAAUGUGAUAUUUGUGUCAACAAGUGGAGGCGUCUUCAUGGUCCAUCUUGAGUCCUUGCAGUUUAAGAAGAUUUUUGAAAGCAAUCCUUUCGCCGAAUGUACGACAUCAACCAUCCACCCAUUCACAAGUUUUUUUACUGCAGGCAAUAACAUGAAUGUACAAGGAUAA
Molecule: ribosomal RNA, 525 nt
Filed under: Triticum aestivum (bread wheat)
Lineage: Eukaryota; Viridiplantae; Streptophyta; Magnoliopsida; Poales; Poaceae
Description: partial small subunit ribosomal RNA
Source: RNAcentral